UACGUAGGGUGCAAGCGUUGUCCGGAAUUAUUGGGCGUAAAGAGCUCGUAGGCGGUCUGUUGCGUCCGCUGUGAAAACUCGGGGCUUAACCCCGAGCCUGCAGUGGAUACGGGCAGACUAGAGGUAGGUAGGGGAGAAUGGAAUUCCCGGUGUAGCGGUAAGUAACGCGAGCAGAUACGCGGAGGAACACCCGUGGCGAAGGCGGCUCUCUGGAACGCAACUGACGCUGAGACGCGAAAGCGUGGGGAGCAAACAGG
Molecule: ribosomal RNA, 257 nt
Filed under: uncultured bacterium
Lineage: Bacteria
Description: partial 16S ribosomal RNA
Rfam family: Bacterial small subunit ribosomal RNA
Source: RNAcentral